RNAcentral lists this ribosomal RNA (253 nucleotides) under uncultured bacterium. RNAcentral's name for it is "partial 16S ribosomal RNA". It matches the Rfam family "Bacterial small subunit ribosomal RNA", at positions 524 to 776 of the family's 1533-position model. The record is from RNAcentral.
UACGUAGGGUCCGAGCGUUGUCCGGAAUUACUGGGCGUAAAGAGCUCGUAGGUGGGUUGUCGCGUUGUUCGUGAAAACUCACAGCUCAACUGUGGGCGUGCGGGCGAUACGGGCAGACUGGAGUACUGCAGGGGAGACUGGAAUUCCUGGUGUAGCGGUGGAAUGCGCAGAUAUCAGGAGGAACACCGGUGGCGAAGGCGGGUCUCUGGGCCGGAACUGACGCUAAGGAGCGAAAGCGUGGGGAGCGAACAGG